GAGUUAAGCAGAUUGUUUGUUAAACACCUUUUUCUGCCCUGGAUAUUGCUUUGCAUUUUUUGCGGCUCCGUGAGCGUGCUAACUGAUGUCCAUUGUGAGACAUAAGUAAAAGCUAGAGAAACUGGCUGGAAACAAAGUCCUCUUCGCAUCUAUUGUUAAUUGACUGAGGGAGAGUGUGGCUUUAAUAUCAAGUAAGCUAUAUCUAAGAAAAUAUCAGUACUAUGAAAAUACUGAAUUUUUUUUUUUUUUAUAAUCAAUUGUGCGAGCCCAGCAAAAGUCGUUCAUGAUUACCGAUAACCUUCAUAUUUUGACUUUAUGGCGAUAUCAUGAUAAAAUAAGUUAUGUAUUAUAUCACUUUUAAUAAUUGAACGGGAACUGACUUGGAUCAAAUUUCAAGUGACAGGAGAAAUGUGAAAAACGCCACAAGUAAGAUUAGGUGAUAUAUAUAUUUUUUGCCACUAGAUUGAACAUAACCCCUGUAGUAUUAUUUUGCGUAGGGUUAUAUUUAGGCUCCUAAGCCUGACAGUGUUACGAUUCUUGCAGUGUGUUAUACCAGCGCCGUGGAAGAGAAACUACUGCGUAAUAUUCUAAAAGACUACAACAGAAAAGCUCGCCCUGUACUCAAGGAAUCAGAUGUGGUUCAUAUUUCCAUGGACAUCGCAUUGCCGCAGUUGAUGAAAAUAGUGAGUAACCAAAUUGCCUAUUCUGCCUCUUACGUUCUGUUGCUUACAUUCUUUUGUAUUUGUAUUUAUUUUGUUAUCUCUGUGGGUUAUGGUAAUAAACAUAUCCAUAGAGGUCCCCCCGGAGAGUCUCUGAAGGCAAGAGAACGUGGUGUUCUAAAAAUUUUUGGUAAGGCACUAUGAUCUACAUAGUCGCUUGGUUCCAGGGCCGCCUUUAAAAGGGCGAUCACUGCGCCCAACAACCAGCCUGUUUAAACACCGCCAAACUACGCAGGCUAUUUUGAGGACGGUUGGAUUUGAUUAUCCCAAGAGAGGAUGUCAUCCAUAUUUUUAUAUAUUAUUUCUGUCUUCAAACCCUCGGCGGCAUUUCUGAUAUUUCGCUGGACAAGCGUUGAUCAUUGCGUGAUUCACGGCGUGAUCCAUUGCGUGAUUCCUACAUCUCCCGGUUACUGAUGGGAAACACGUGGUGAAAACUUUGGAGCGGGAAUGGUCUGACACACUGGCAAACGGGGCCCAGAAAAUUUAUCAGCAAAUAUGGAGAUGUGUGCAAAGCAACUGUUUGAUAAGGAGUUUAAAGAAGAAUUGAUCCGUAACCUGAACGUGCUGAGGAAGUCAAGCAUUCUCUGUGAUAUAACUAUAAGAGCGGAAGGCAAAGACUUCGCGGCUCAUCGAUGUGUUUUGACCGCCGCUAGCCCUUACUUCCGAGCUCUGUUUACUUCGACCUUUAAAGAAAACGAAAAUAAUUUUGUGGAGCUCAAACAGGUUAAAUGUGCAGCUCUAAGCGAAGCUCUUCAAUUUAUGUACACUGGGACGGCGAAAGCCGAUUGUUCUAACGCUCAAGAUUUGGUAAUGGCGGCGGACUACUUGAUCUUACCAAGUUUAAAAUUGAAAGCUUCCGAAUUCCUGCAGGAAACCAUUAGUGCUUCAAAUUGUCUUGCUCUGGAAUCAUUUGCUGUACAGUUUAACUGUGAGUCGUUAAAGAAAGCUGCAGUAACCUACAAAGUAAAAAAUUUUGUCGCCGUCGUGAAAUCGGAUGAUUUCAAGUCUCUGGACUUUGACAAGGUUAAGGACCUAAUUUCUCGAGACGACAUAAUCGUAUCUAAAGAGGAAGAGGUUUAUGACGCAGUUAUUAUGUGGGUGAAAAACGACCUUUCAUCAAGAGAAUGUUGCUUCCCCGACCUGCUAAAAUGCGUGAGAAUUUUCUCGAUGUCGAAGUACAGUCUUCGAGAGAUUCUUUGUAAAGAAAAGCUCGUCCUAAAUAGCCUGCCUUGUACGACUAUUCUCUUCAAAGCCCUGGAUGCAUUUCUUUUCCCUGAUAGUUACCAAGUUUUGAUGCAAAGACCUCGCCUAUGCCUUAAACGGAAGGAGCUAGUAGUUGUCCUCACAGGUGGCCACAAUAUUGACAAUCUCAGACAAGAGCCAACCGAUGAGACAUUUGGAUUUGUUCUUUCCUCCAAGAAGUGGUUGAACCUGCCCAUGAUGCCCUGGCCUCGUACACGGCACGCUGCUGCAGUGUGUGGUGGUCAGCUGUUUGUGGUGGGUGGCAACUCAGAUGCCCCAUCUGCCCCUUUGUGUUACUUCAACCCUGGACAAAACAAGUGGUUUGCCAGUGAUAAGGCUCUGAAGGCAAUUCUGCACAGUUCUUUGGUUACCCACAAUGAGGAACUUUACAUGAUUGGUGGUGAGAUUGGAAAUGUGCCUAGAGUUAAAUGUACAAAGUAUAAUUACAAAGAUAACAAAUGGAAAGAGGUGUCACCAAUGAUACAUCCUCGCACUGCUCAUUGUGCAGUUGUCCUGGAUGAGCUCAUCUAUGUCAUGGCAGGUUGUGACGAUAAUGCCUGUCUUAAGAGUGUGGAGUGCUACACUCCUUCAAGUGAUGAAUGGAGCCAGAUUGCAGAUAUGAACAAUGCAAGAAAAUUUGCGGCUGCUGUUGCGGCCACUACUAGUGAGAAAAUAAUAGUCGUUGGAGGGUACGGUGACAUAGAUUGUGCUGCUGUUGUAGCAAAUAGUGAAAUUUUUGACAAGAGCUUGAAUCAGUGGAGUUUGGUUUCUGCUCCUAUUGUGCCACGUGCAGCAUGUGGCAUUGUCAGUGUUGAAGAUUAUGUCUAUGUGUUUGGGGGAGAAAGGGAAUCACCAUAUGAUGAUCUGGAUAGUGUGGAGUGUUAUGCUAUCCAAGAGGAUGCGUGGAGCCAAGUUGACUCCAUGCCAAAAAGGCUUAUCUGUCUUCAAGCUUCAUUGUUGCAGCUACCAGUGGAAUAUACGUAAACCAUUUUAAAUGAUAUAAUUUAUUAUCCAAGCAUUUCUGUUAUAUAUAUUUAUGUGCACAAUACCAGUAAUACUGAUGAUGUAGGAAAUUUUCACGGAAGAGACUGUUAAGUUAGAUACUGUAACCAGCCUUUGCGGCAAAAUCACAAGAAUUGAAUUAAUUGUCCUGUACUGUUGUGUAUUUACCAGGAUAUUUCAUGUAAUUCAUUGCAUACUAUCUGAUUUACACUUUGUUAAUGUAUCUCAAGGGUUAUUGAACCUGAUUAAUAUCGCACCCAAUUAUAUUCUUUAUGAUGUUCAAUAAAAAUAUUUGACUUAUACUUUACUGCUUUAUACCUAAUCAUGGUGUAUUGAUAAUUUCUGAUUUACGCUGUGCCAAUUUUUUUCCCCUAAGAUUUAACAAAUUUGAUUUUAAUGUUUAUCACAUUAGGAAGCAAUGUAUGAAUAAUAAUUAUUCCUAGGUUGUAAUCAACUGCUGUAGUAUUAUUUUACCAAUAAUCAAUAAUCAACGAGCCUUACGUAGUUAUUAUAGAGUUAUUGAGGAACAUUAAAUUUGUUCAAUUUAGUUUAGCCAUGACUAAAGUAAAGUGAUAUUGAAGUGAAUAAAUAAAAACAUUAAAAAACAACAAGAACACCACAUAGAGACCUUGAACUUGAAAAAAACAAACAAACAAUAUGCGGUGAAAAUUAAUUCAAAUGUCAUUCAUGAUCAUUCUUAUUCACUCAAUUGUAACUGCUUUGUGGACAAUAAUGAGAGAUUGAUUGUCAAAGCUGUUUUUACUUGUUUGUUUGGUUAUUUAUACUUAUGUUUUCCAUCUGGCUUGCUUAUAGUUUUAUCAAAAAUAAAAAAUAACAUAUAAUUUGAACACUUGAGGACAGCUAUAAAGAAUGCACCAAAUUGCCUAUCAUGCACACAAAGCUAUUGGACAAUUCAUUAAACUUUUUUUGGUUUAGGGACAUUCUCAUUGUUAACUUAAUAAUUAGUCAAAUGUAGGUAUUCAAUAACACAACGAACUUUGAUCUCAAAUUAAGCAGCCUCAACAUCGUAGAAAUGAAAAACUUGAGGGAAAAAAUUGUCUAGUUUAAAGGGUCAUCGACUGCCAUGCUUUUCAUAAAAAUCAUCAUCAUCAUUAUUAUUUUUAUUAUUUUUUUCCCUGUGGUUUUACAAAGUCUAUACACUUGCGUUGUCAUCAUAGAUAGGAUGUCACUGAGGAGAAUGUACAGGGAGUCAUUAACACCCGCAAUUUAUCAUAUCUUUCUCGUCCCUCCAAAAGAACGUAGGCGGGUUAAUUAUAGUUCACAGAAGGUUUUACACUGAUCUUCUUUAUUCCAGGAUGAAAAAGAAGAAGUCAUAACCACAAACGUAUGGGUGAGGCAGUAUUGGAAUGAUCCCAGGUUUUCUUGGAAUAAAACUGAGUAUGA
Molecule: unclassified non-coding RNA, 4367 nt
Filed under: Orbicella faveolata
Lineage: Eukaryota; Metazoa; Cnidaria; Anthozoa; Scleractinia; Merulinidae
Description: neuronal acetylcholine receptor subunit alpha-7-like, transcript variant X2
Source: RNAcentral